AAGACCAUACUCGUUAGGAUCAUUUCUACAGUGUGUGUCCCACCUUAGUCUUCUACAAAAGACAACCGAUUCAGUCACGAUGAUGAGGAUGCCCUUUGCUCCUGAGCAGGAAACUAGCUACUUUAUGUAGCAUUGAUGACUGUUCACCUGAAGCUUCGUGCUGAUGGGAGGGAGCAAAGGCAGCCUGAGUGGC
Molecule: small nucleolar RNA, 193 nt
Filed under: Mnemiopsis leidyi (sea walnut)
Lineage: Eukaryota; Metazoa; Ctenophora; Tentaculata; Lobata; Bolinopsidae
Description: small nucleolar RNA U3
Rfam family: Small nucleolar RNA U3
About the family: Small nucleolar RNAs (snoRNAs) are involved in the processing and modification of rRNA in the nucleolus.
Source: RNAcentral